Lentinula raphanica is the source of this 93-nucleotide non-coding RNA. The record is from the annotation of a GenBank genome assembly. NCBI's taxonomy places the organism in Eukaryota, Fungi, Basidiomycota, Agaricomycetes, Agaricales, Omphalotaceae.
ACACCGUUGGUGAAGUGGUUAUCAUGCUUGCCUUCCAUGAGAAAUUGCAAAUUGGAUCAGCAAGCGGCUCGGGUUCGAUUCCCGAACGGUGUA